Molecule: long non-coding RNA, 455 nt
Organism: Prunus persica (peach)
Lineage: Eukaryota; Viridiplantae; Streptophyta; Magnoliopsida; Rosales; Rosaceae
Exons: 2
Source: RefSeq, a predicted model, not a curated record
UAAUAAAAAAGAAUAUUUUAAAAAGAAUAAAAUUCACCGAAAAAUACUACGAACUCCUUGUAACAUGCGCUUUCAUCUAUGAUAUCAAAUUCACAAUUGGACCCCAAAAAUUUCCAUUUCCAAGUUUCACAUAAAACUGAAAACUGAAAAUUGAAAUCAAUUACCAAACAUCUUGUGUUUAGUUUUCACUUUUCACUUUUUUUGAAAAUUGAAAUUAGUUACCAAACAAGUUUUCAAUUUUCAGUUUUUGAAAACUGAAAAUUGAAAAUUGAAAAAUAAAAACUGAAAACUGAAAACUGAAAUGGUUAUCAAAUUGGCCCUAAAUGAAGUAAGAGGUAGUUGAAGUUUUUGGUAUUGGAAAGUGAAGUGAAUGCAUCUUUAUACAAGGGCUUGUGCGUUGUGGGCAACAAAAGGUCUACAUUUACUAAGAACUAGGAUUGAUUUUGUAGAGAUCU